Long non-coding RNA from Raphanus sativus (radish), 794 nucleotides. RefSeq lists it as uncharacterized. The transcript is spliced from 4 exons. Lineage: Eukaryota; Viridiplantae; Streptophyta; Magnoliopsida; Brassicales; Brassicaceae. The record is from RefSeq and is a predicted model, not a curated record.
AAGUCUUUUUUAAGAGAAAAUUAGAAAAAAGAGACAUCUUCAUCUUAGGUUUGUCACUCUAAGAUUUUUAGAAGAUGUUUUAGGAAAAUAAGAUUUUGAUUCCCUUUAAAUAUCAUAUUACCCUUAGUUUAGUUUGAAUUAUAAUUAUAAUCUAUAAUUUUUGUAAUUGAUUUUAAAUGUUAAAAUAUUAAAAGGUUAAUAAAAGAAAAGUAGACAAAAAGAAAGACAUGGGGUCGUCGUCUUCCAUAACGAUUUAGGGUUCAAUAGAGAACCUUGACAGAAAGAAGAAAGAUGAGGCAGAGAGAGAUGAGAGAUUGCAGGAGGAAGAACAGACCGGUCUAAGUUCGUGCCCUCGUCAUCGGUCUGAGAUCGUUUCCAUCGUCAUUGAUCUGAGUUCGUCUCCACCGCCGAUUUCUUGUUAGGGUUUCAUUGCAUCUCCUCAUCUCCGUCACACCUCGUUCUCUCUCUCGUCUCCGGUGGCAAGGCGGAGCAGCGUCGAAGGCGGUUCUCAUUGGUGGAUUCUAGCAAAGGGCAAGCAAUGGUUCGACAUUUGGUCUUCUCUUGUAUUGUUGUUGGUGGAAGGCACAAGUAUUUGAUUAACUACGGAAGACGUUUGAGGAUCGUGAGCAUGAGCUGCUAAGAGGAGGUAGCAAAAGCGUGGUCGUUAGCCUCUGGGACAUUAGGUUUAGAGGGUGUGUGACUGGAAGACGGCGACGUUAGAGAACUCGUUAUUACGACGUCGGUCGUGGUGUGGUGCGGGCGUAAGGAGAUAGAACUUUAGGUAUAGAAUUUUG